RNAcentral lists this ribosomal RNA (381 nucleotides) under uncultured soil bacterium. Its description in RNAcentral is "bacterial SSU rRNA". It matches the Rfam family "Bacterial small subunit ribosomal RNA", at positions 26 to 396 of the family's 1533-position model. The record is from RNAcentral.
AGAUUGAACGCUGGCGGCGGGCCUAACACAUGCAAGUCGAGCGGUAGAGAGGUGCUUGCAUCUCUUGAGAGCGGCGGACGGGUGAGUAAUGCCUAGGAAUCUGCCUAGUGGUGGGGGAUAACGCUCGGAAACGGACGCUAAUACCGCAUACGUCCUACGGGAGAAAGCGGGGGGACCUUCGGGCCUCGCGCCAUUAGAUGAGCCUAGGUCGGAUUAGGCUAGUUGGUGAGGUAAUGGCUCACCAAGGCGACGAUCCGUAACUGGUCUGAGAGGAUGAUCGAGUCACACUGGAACUGGAGACGACGGUCCAGACCUCCGUACGGGAGCAGCAGGUGGGGAAUAGUUGGACUAAGUGGGGACGAAAGUCCUAGACGUACCGAG